Micropterus salmoides (largemouth bass) is the source of this 1124-nucleotide long non-coding RNA. RefSeq lists it as uncharacterized. Lineage: Eukaryota; Metazoa; Chordata; Actinopteri; Centrarchiformes; Centrarchidae. The record is from RefSeq and is a predicted model, not a curated record. The transcript has 3 exons.
CUAACUUUGGCUUGUUUGACAUUAACCUACCUGGUCUCUGAAGGCAGCCGAUGUUCUUCCUCCACCGUUAUUUUUUGAGAUGCCACGGGGUCAGGGCGAGUUGAAUCCCAUGUCAGAAUUGUCCCCAUGUUGACCUGCGCCUGACUGGCCUCCCAGCAAAAAGCCCCUGUGAAGCAGAAGGCAAAGAGGGCUACGCUGAUCCGAAGGUGAAAAACAUUCUCCUCCUCCUCCUCCUCCUCCUCCUCCUCUCCCCCAGCUGAACAUCUGUCUCCGUAGUGUUGGCUGCGGCACCGACUCUGACACCUCCAGAUGGAGAGCCCGCUGGAAGCGCUGAGGUAUUACCUACAGAGAUGGCAGGGAUCACACCUCUGGAAUGAAGUCCCACACUUGUUUUCUGCACCGUCCCCUUUUUUGUUGUUGAAUCUGUCACUAUUCACCACAUCGAUUAUCACCUCCCUAGUCCUUGGCCUUGUGACUCGUGCGAAGAGGAAGCUUUUUGCUUAUAAAGAAGUGCAUGACAACAAACCUCUCAGCCCUUUUCUAAUUUACAGUAAUGGGCCGUAUGGUAUUUCAACUGUAACUUCUAUUAGUGGAACUGCAUUAAUUUUUAAUAUAGUUGUGAGAGAAGUGCAUACUCAUGCAGAUAUAUUUCAAAUGGUUGAAUUCCAUUUCCUAGUAACAUGUUUUUCAGAGGCCCUAAAUGUUUUUAGUUUGCACAGACCAGAACAUUGUCUAAAUGGCCUGUAAUCUCUUUAGUCUAAAUAUUAAACGCAAUACCUGCAAAAAUCUAAAGUGAGAGAGGCCUAGAGUUGACUUCUCAAAGCUACUCUGGUGUCUUGACAGAUUGACUCGGCAUUCAUUUGUGCCUGAACUCUGAGUGAACCUCAGCUUUAGGAAAAAAGGGCACCAACAGGCCAGAGCUGCUGGGGCAGAAUGUGUGCACAAACCUAACACCCAGUGCAAAUAUUGAAACUGCUGCCCCUUUAGCAUCAGAUGAAACUAGGUGGUCAGGUCCAGCAAACGUUUAUCUUAAGGAGAAGCCAAAAUGAGCACUGAAAUGUUAAAUUGCUAACUCAGUCCCUCUGUUUUUUAAAAAGAAAUGUGUGUGUUUAAUUAAAAGUAUU